AUUAGAGUUUGAUCCUGGCUCAGGACGAACGCUGGCGGCGUGCUUAACACAUGCAAGUCGAACGAUGAAGCCCUUCGGGGUGGAUUAGUGGCGAACGGGUGAGUAACACGUGGGCAAUCUGCCCUUCACUCUGGGACAAGCCCUGGAAACGGGGUCUAAUACCGGAUACGACUGUGGAAGGCAUCUUCUGCGGUGGAAAGCUCCGGCGGUGAAGGAUGAGCCCGCGGCCUAUCAGCUUGUUGGUGGGGUAAUGGCCUACCAAGGCGACGACGGGUAGCCGGCCUGAGAGGGCGACCGGCCACACUGGGACUGAGACACGGCCCAGACUCCUACGGGAGGCAGCAGUGGGGAAUAUUGCACAAUGGGCGAAAGCCUGAUGCAGCGACGCCGCGUGAGGGAUGACGGCCUUCGGGUUGUAAACCUCUUUCAGCAGGGAAGAAGCGAAAGUGACGGUACCUGCAGAAGAAGCGCCGGCUAACUACGUGCCAGCAGCCGCGGUAAUACGUAGGGCGCAAGCGUUGUCCGGAAUUAUUGGGCGUAAAGAGCUCGUAGGCGGCUUGUCACGUCGGUUGUGAAAGCCCGAGGCUUAACCCCGGGUCUGCAGUCGAUACGGGCAGGCUAGAGUGUGGUAGGGGAGAUCGGAAUUCCUGGUGUAGCGGUGAAAUGCGCAGAUAUCAGGAGGAACACCGGUGGCGAAGGCGGAUCUCUGGGCCAUUACUGACGCUGAGGAGCGAAAGCGUGGGGAGCGAACAGGAUUAGAUACCCUGGUAGUCCACGCCGUAAU
Molecule: ribosomal RNA, 784 nt
Filed under: Streptomyces sp. SCY313
Lineage: Bacteria; Bacillati; Actinomycetota; Actinomycetes; Kitasatosporales; Streptomycetaceae
Description: bacterial SSU rRNA
Rfam family: Bacterial small subunit ribosomal RNA
Source: RNAcentral